RNAcentral lists this ribosomal RNA (829 nucleotides) under Ilyonectria panacis. RNAcentral describes it as "eukaryotic LSU rRNA". It matches the Rfam family "Eukaryotic large subunit ribosomal RNA", at positions 74 to 935 of the family's 3401-position model. Lineage: Eukaryota; Fungi; Ascomycota; Sordariomycetes; Hypocreales; Nectriaceae. RNAcentral also lists the same sequence under 1 other name. The record is from RNAcentral.
AUUGCCCUAGUAACGGCGAGUGAAGCGGCAACAGCUCAAAUUUGAAAUCUGGCCCUCGGGUCCGAAUUGUAAUUUGUAGAGGAUGCUUUUGGUGAGGUACCUUCCGAGUUCCCUGGAACGGGACGCCAUAGAGGGUGAGAGCCCCGUCUGGUCGGAUACCGAUCCUCUGUAAAGCUCCUUCGACGAGUCGAGUAGUUUGGGAAUGCUGCUCUAAAUGGGAGGUAUAUGUCUUCUAAAGCUAAAUAUUGGCCAGAGACCGAUAGCGCACAAGUAGAGUGAUCGAAAGAUGAAAAGCACUUUGAAAAGAGAGUUAAAAAGUACGUGAAAUUGUUGAAAGGGAAGCGCUCAUGACCAGACUUGGGCUUGGUUGAUCAUCCAGGGUUCUCCCUGGUGCACUCUUCCAGCCCAGGCCAGCAUCAGUUCGCUGUGGGGGAUAAAGGCUUUGGGAAUGUGGCUCCUCCGGGAGUGUUAUAGCCCAUUGUGUAAUACCCUGUGGUGGACUGAGGUUCGCGCAUCUGCAAGGAUGCUGGCGUAAUGGUCAUCAGCGACCCGUCUUGAAACACGGACCAAGGAGUCGUCUUCGUAUGCGAGUGUUCGGGUGUUAAACCCCUACGCGUAAUGAAAGUGAACGCAGGUGAGAGCUUCGGCGCAUCAUCGACCGAUCCUGAUGUUCUCGGAUGGAUUUGAGUAAGAGCAUACGGGGCCGGACCCGAAAGAAGGUGAACUAUGCCUGUAUAGGGUGAAGCCAGAGGAAACUCUGGUGGAGGCUCGCAGCGGUUCUGACGUGCAAAUCGAUCGUCAAAUAUGGGCAUGGGGGCGAAAGACUAAU